CACACUGUAAACGAUGAUAACUCGCUGUCGGCGAUACACAGUCGGUAGCCAAGCGAAAGCGAUAAGUUAUCCACCUGGGGAGUACGACCGCAAGGUUGAAACUCAAAGGAAUUGACGGGG
RNAcentral lists this ribosomal RNA (120 nucleotides) under uncultured bacterium. Its description in RNAcentral is "partial 16S ribosomal RNA". It matches the Rfam family "Bacterial small subunit ribosomal RNA", at positions 796 to 918 of the family's 1533-position model. The record is from RNAcentral.